This is a non-coding RNA of Hordeum vulgare subsp. vulgare (domesticated barley), 136 nucleotides long. NCBI's taxonomy places the organism in Eukaryota, Viridiplantae, Streptophyta, Magnoliopsida, Poales, Poaceae. The record is from Rfam.
UAUAUACUCCCUCCGUCCCAAAAUUUUUGUCUUAGAUUAGUUUAGAUAUGAAUGUAUCUAGUCAUGUUUUAAUACUUUGAUAUAUCCAUUUCUAGACAAACGUAAGACAAAAAAUUUGGGACGGAGGAAGUAUACG